RNAcentral lists this ribosomal RNA (353 nucleotides) under Rypobius sp. CO956. RNAcentral's name for it is "partial 12S ribosomal RNA". Lineage: Eukaryota; Metazoa; Arthropoda; Insecta; Coleoptera; Corylophidae. The record is from RNAcentral.
UUAAAAUAUGUAAUUUUUCUAAAUUAGUAUUAGUUAUGUUCUUGAAAAUUAAAGAUUUUGGCGGUAUUUUAGUCUUUUUAGAGGAAUCUGUUCUAUAAUUGAUAUUCCACGAUUAUUUAAACUUAUAUUAGAAAUUUAUAUAUCGUUGUAAUUUGAAUAUUUUAAAAGAAUUAAAUAUUCAUAAUUUAUAAAUUUUAUUUAAUAAAACAAAUCAAAUCAAGAUGUAGUUUAUAUAUAAGAAGAGAUGGAUUACAAAAAAAAUAUUUAUGAAUAAUAAUUUUAAAAAUUUUUUGAAAUAGGAUUUAAAAGUAAUUAUAUAUAUAUUUAUAUAAUGAGUUAGUUCUAAAAUAUGU